AUACUUACCUGGCAGGGGAAAAACCAUGAUCACAAAGCUGGUUUUCCCAGGGUGAGGUUUAUCCAUUACUCUGGAUGUCCUGACCUCUGCAAUUUCCUCAAAUGUGGGAAGCUUGACUGCAUAAUUUGUAGUAGUGGGGGACUGCAUUCACACUUUACCCUG
Tupaia belangeri (northern tree shrew) is the source of this 162-nucleotide small nuclear RNA. Its record names the gene U1. It matches the Rfam family "U1 spliceosomal RNA". From Rfam's summary of the family: U1 is a small nuclear RNA (snRNA) component of the spliceosome (involved in pre-mRNA splicing). Its 5' end forms complementary base pairs with the 5' splice junction, thus defining the 5' donor site of an intron. There are significant differences in sequence and secondary structure between metazoan and yeast U1 snRNAs, the latter being much longer (568 nucleotides as compared to 164 nucleotides in human). Lineage: Eukaryota; Metazoa; Chordata; Mammalia; Scandentia; Tupaiidae. The record is from Ensembl.